UUCCCCUUAUGACCUGGGCUACACACGUGCUACAAUGGCAUAUACAACCGAGUCGCCAACCCGCGAGGGUGCGCUAAUCUCUUAAAGUAUGUCUCAGUUCGGAUUGUAGGCUGCAACUCGCCUACAUGAAGUCGGAAUCGCUAGUAAUCGCGGAUCAGCACGCCGCGGUGAAUACGUUCCCGGGUCUUGUACACACCGCCCGUCACACCAUGAGAGUUUGUAACACCCAAAGCCGGUGGGGUAACCUUUUAGGAGCCAGCCGUCUAAGGUGGGACAGAUGAUUAGGGUGAAGUCGUAACAAGGUAGCCGUAGGAGAACCUGCGGUUGGAUCACCC
Molecule: ribosomal RNA, 335 nt
Filed under: Weissella paramesenteroides
Lineage: Bacteria; Bacillati; Bacillota; Bacilli; Lactobacillales; Lactobacillaceae
Description: bacterial SSU rRNA
Rfam family: Bacterial small subunit ribosomal RNA
Source: RNAcentral